AAGAAGCUCAGGCCUCUGAGCUGAACUUACGCUGACGCCUUUUCUGUCAGACGUGUCACGAGCGCUCCCACGCAGUAGCACUGCUGACGACAGCUGUGUGUGCUGAUGGUUUUUUUUUAAUCGAUGUUCUUCCCUGCCGGUCUUAUUCCAAGAUUGUCUCCAGCCUUCGUAAAAAAAAAAAAAAAAAUUUAAAAAAUGAAACAAAUCUUUUUGGCAUUUUCAAUUUUAAAAUGUAAUUAAUUCAAUAUCUCCACGUGGGCUUUUUUUUUUAUUUUUCUUCGAAUGAAACGCGAUUGCUUUUUUAUUUUUCUGCCGAUAAAAAGAUUGAGUUUAGUUCAUGAGCAGACAAUUAAUCCCAAUUAGAUGAGCCAGCUGCAGCUCACAGAUUCUUCUACAGUGCCGCACGUAUCUUAAGGACCCUGAAAGGUCAGAAUUCAAUACCGGUGUUUGAGCGAGCAAGCAGCCCCACUCAGCAGCUGAUUAGUGGCUUUUGAAUGCCUCAUUUUCAGCUAAAUGGAAUCAAGCACUGAUAAGAUGUCCACACAGGAAAUCCACAGAAGAAUUGCCACCCUUUUGGCACUCAUUAAACUGUUUAACUUUCAAGGUUGUUUGUGAAUACCUGCCAAUGAAAACCCAUGCGGUGGAGAAGGUGCAGCCAUCGAAGCAAGCGGAAGACGCUACUGAUUUGUUAGGCAUGCAAGACAGCGGAUCUUCCACGCGAGCGCGUCCCUGUUUCGGUAGACAGCGGCACAAAUUAUUCAUCAGCGCAGGAUUUAUUAUUCAAUGCUGGAAUUUCCUGAGGAUGAUGAUGUCAUCGAGCCUGGCGUCAGUUGUUGGUUUUCUGCUAUCGCUGAAUAUUUUGACAACAACAAUAGCAAUGUUACUCGGAUAAGAAAUUGUUCAUUAGAUACGGUCUAACGUUACUAUAGAUUGAGAUGGUAAGUUGUUCCAAGAAAUAUUGAAGAGGAAGAAUAAGUACAUUUGUUGGUCAUUUGACCGAUCUCACUGGUGGCUCAAUUGUUCAUUCUGUAGUCUUUGUUACUCCUGCACCAGUAUAUGUGCACAGCAUUAAAAUAAAUCCCUAGUAAAAUAACAGGUAUGUUUCCAGUAAGUGUUGGGGCAGCUAAAUUGGCCUUUUAGGUUAUUUCUUCUGUGAGAGAGAAGAAAUAGACCUUUUUUUUUUUUGAGCUGAAAGACCGAUGUGCUCAGAAUGCUCAGAUGUAAUGCAAUGCAACCGAGAUGAUGAAACUUGGCACAACCCUUGUGAAAUAUCUUAUGACCCGACGGAUGGAAAUGCCACAUUUCACAACUAGAAAAAACCUAUUGUUGUACUGUGAAAUGCGCUUGCAAAAUAUUUGGGAAUGGUCACUGGUUUUGCAGCAGUAGCUCUGUGUAUUAGUCAUUAACCCUUGGAAGAAUAUGUUUUUUUCCAAGUCAGUGUGUUCUAGAACUCUUUUGCUUUCAAUCACCAGUAGUGAUUGUGACAUCAGCAUUUGAAUGUUCCGAAAAGAACAUUCUAAUCACAUAUUUCUGAUCUUACACCUUAAAGCACCGGUUCUCAAACCUUUUAAUAUCAGGACCCAAAUGAGAAAUUUGUACCUUUCAGGGACCAAUCAAAUACGCUAGACUAGCUCAGUAGACUACAGACUCAUUCAGAGCCCCACAUCACACAUACCCACAAACCCAUUUUGGGUCCUGAUCCAUAGUUUAUGAAACACUGCCUUAAAGGGUUAAUUGGGAGCAGCUAGCAUUCACAUUGGUUGCACAGUAACCAGAAUGAACUGCAUUUUCAUAUUUUUACUCGAUGAAUCACCCUUUAAGUAUUCUGUCUCCUUUUCUGUACCUGCAUUGUCCCCCUUCUUCAUGACCUAUUAUUUCUGUUCAUUAAAGCCAAUCAGUGACUUUUAGCUGGAGGACUUAUUUCAGCAUGGAAUGAGAUUAACUGUCACAAAAUGAAAAUUUUUCCUUCGUGCAAUAUCCCUGUUUAAUAAGAGGUAUGCUGAAGAUGUUAUACCAUGUGCCCACCGCUCUCUGUCAGAGCCUAUUACUGAAUGUGCUGCUUGAGUUUGUGUUAUGCGCAUACAGUAUCUGUUUCUCUGUUUCAUGUCUUUCCCAUGAAUUUUUGUUCAAGUUUUUAUAUACUUUCACUCGAUUCUUUUGUAUUUUGUUUUUAGAUUUAUUUAUGCAUCAUGCACAUUUAAUUUGUGUUUUUCAUAAAGUGUCAACCAGACAAAGCAAUUGGAUCAAAUCAACAAAUUAGUCCAUUUGAAACUGGCUUCAGCUUUGUGAAACAGGCUUCAGCUCUGUGAAACGUGGUUCAUAUUUCUGAAACGGUUCAGCGGUGUGAAACAGGUUCGGCUGUGUGAAAUGGGCUUCAGCUUUGUGAAAUGGGCUUCAGCUUUGUUAAACGGGCUUCAGCUUUGUGAAACGGGCUUCAGCAUUGUGAAAUGGGGUUCAGCUUUGUUAAACGGGCUUCAGCUAAACCAGCUUUACCGUUCAGGCGUUCUGUUGGGCUCAGAUCACGGGGCGUAUAACGAUGCAUUUCCUCUCUGGCCUCGGGCCGGAUGAUUGCAUUCAGCCAGAGCUGCCUCUGGAGCGCACGGCCGCGGUCCGAGGACAGGGCCCGGGAUCGUAAUGGAGAAUGACGCGUAUUAAUUCCAUCCAUUCCAUUCCGUCCGUCUGGCCUCCUUCCACCUCACCGCUCAGGACGGACUGCAGACUGCUCCCCUCGGUGUAUCGCGGCGCAUCUCGCUGGACCGUGAAUUAAUUACCAGGUCCCAGCCAUCAAUAACUGUUAUCAUUUCUCGUCCAGAUAUUGUGACUAACAGCAUCCAGGGCAGGUAAUAUAAUUAAAAUUUACAGUGUAUGAAAUUUAAUCAUUUAAAAAAAUAUUAUUAUCAGCUCGGAACAGCAAUUCUAUUUUUUCUAUGUCUUAUCAAGCAAUAUCCACGUUUAUCUAAAAAAAAAAAAACGAUGAUAGCACAGUUAUAUCAUGGGACAUGUGGCUGAACAGAAUGUAUUCAGUAUAUUUAAAUGGAAUUAAUCUUUCUUGCAUUGUUCCUUUUCCCCCAAAUAUUAAUAGUAUUCAAGGGAGGCUUCUUGCAGGGACUAAUUGGUUAUGGGUGGUAAUUUGGUGACCGUCCAUGUAUGUGUGGUCAU
Long non-coding RNA from Anguilla rostrata (American eel), 3159 nucleotides. RefSeq lists it as uncharacterized. The transcript is spliced from 2 exons. Lineage: Eukaryota; Metazoa; Chordata; Actinopteri; Anguilliformes; Anguillidae. The record is from RefSeq and is a predicted model, not a curated record.